GGUUCGCUUAGCCGCGAUUAAUUGGGAAUGUGAGUGAGAAUCUCCGACUGUCCCGCAGCAGUGAACUCCGUUAUGGCCCUUGAGCGUAAAUGCCAUUGGACUUUCUCUCCUGACUCGUAAGAUGGGGUGGGGAAUGUUUGAGAAGGUGCUUGAGAGUGGAGCAAAGUCUGAAGACCAGCCUUUUGUG
Molecule: non-coding RNA, 187 nt
Filed under: uncultured Prevotella sp.
Lineage: Bacteria; Pseudomonadati; Bacteroidota; Bacteroidia; Bacteroidales; Prevotellaceae
Source: RNAcentral